GAUGAACGCUGGCGGCGUGCCUAAUACAUGCAAGUCGAGCGAACAGACGAGGAUCUUGCUCCUCUGACGUUAGCGGCGGACGGGUGAGUAACACGUGGAUAACCUACCUAUAAGACUGGGAUAACUUCGGGAAACCUGAGCUAAUACCGUAUAACAUGUUGAACCGCAUGGUUCAACAGAGAAAGACGGUCUUGCUGUCACUUAUAGAUGGUUCCGCGCCGCAUUAGCUAGUUGGUAAGGUAACGGCUUACCAAGGCAACGAUGCGUAGCCGACCUGAGAGGGUGAUCGGCCACACUGGAACUGAGACACGGUCCAGACUCCUACGGGAGGCAGCAGUAGGGAAUCUUCCGCAAUGGGCGAAAGCCUGACGGAGCAACGCCGCGUGAGUGAAGAAGGUCUUCGGAUCGUAAAACUCUGUUAUUAGGGAAGAACAAAUGUGUAAGUAACUAUGCACGUCUUGACGGUACCUAAUCAGAAAGCCACGGCUAACUACGUG
Molecule: ribosomal RNA, 497 nt
Filed under: uncultured bacterium
Lineage: Bacteria
Description: partial 16S ribosomal RNA
Rfam family: Bacterial small subunit ribosomal RNA
Source: RNAcentral